This 490-nucleotide ribosomal RNA is filed under the name uncultured bacterium. RNAcentral describes it as "partial 16S ribosomal RNA". It matches the Rfam family "Bacterial small subunit ribosomal RNA", at positions 30 to 507 of the family's 1533-position model. The record is from RNAcentral.
AUUGAACGCUGGCGGCAGGCCUAACACAUGCAAGUCGAACGGUAACAGGAAGCAGCUUGCUGCUUCGCUGACGAGUGGCGGACGGGUGAGUAAUGUCUGGGAAGCUGCCUGAUGGAGGGGGAUAACUCCUGGAAACGGUAGCUAAUACCGCAUAAUGUCGCAAGACCAAAGAGGGGGACCUUCGGGCCUCUUGCCAUCGGCUGUGCCCAGAUGGGAUUAGCUUGUUGGUGGGGUAACGGCUCACCAAGGCGACGAUCCCUAGCUGGUCUGAGAGGGUGACCAGCCACACUGGAACUGAGACACGGUCCAGACUCCUACGGGAGGCAGCAGUGGGGAAUAUUGCGCAAUGGGCGCAAGCCUGAUGCAGCCAUGCCGCGUGUAUGAAGAAGGCCUUCGGAUUGUAAAGUACUUUCAGCGGGGAGGAAGGGAGUAAAGUGAAUACCUUGGCUCAUUGACGUUACCCGCAGAAGAAGCACCGGCUAACUCCGUG